GGGGUUGACGGUACCCUACUAGAAAGGAGCCGCUAACUUCGUGCCAGAAGCGUCGGUAAUACGGGGGCUCCAAGCGUUAUCCGGUGUUAUUGGGCGUAAAGAGUCGUGUAGGUGGUUGGGUAAGUUAUCUUUCAAAUAUCUUUGCUUAACAAAGAGGAGGGGGGUAAUACUGCUCGACUAGAAUUUUCUCAAGGGAGAUCGGAACUGAGGGAGGAGUAGUGAAAUGCGUUGAUACCCUCGGGAACACCAGUGGCGUAGGCGGAUCUCUGGGAGAAGAUUGACACUGAGACACGAAAGCUAGGGGAGCGAAGCAGAUUAGAGACCUGCGUAGUCCUAGCCGUAAACGCAUGCUUGCUAGCUGCAUGAGUCUACCUUCGGGUGGUAUCGUGUGGCGAAGGUAACCCGUUAAGCAAGCCGCCUGGAAAGUACGGCCGCAAGGCUGAAAUUCAAAGGAAUUGGCGGGGAGGCACACAACCAGUGGAACAUGUGGUUUAAUUCGAGACUAACCGAAGAACCUCACCAGGGUUUGACAUGUAGCUGCACGUCUUAAGAAAUUAAGACUCUCUUGAAGGUGCUACACAGGUGCUGCAUGGCUGUCGUCAGCUCGUUCCGUGAGGAGUGCCCUUAAGUGGGACAACGAGCGCAACCCCUAUUACAUGUUAGAAAUGUCAUGUAAGACUGCCUUGCCAUUUGGCGGGGAGGAAGGAGGGGCAGACGUCAAGUCCGCAUGGUCCUUAUGCCCUGGGCUACACACAUGUUACAAUGAGUACGGCAAUGAGUCUGUCGCGAGCACGUAAGUGUAAGCUAAUCUCUUAAAUGUACUCUCAGUGGGGAUUGAGGUCUGCAACUCGGCCUCAUGAACACGGAAUUGGUAGUAAUCGCGGGUCAGCUAUACCGCGGUGAUACGUUCUUGCCUCUUGCACACACCGCCCGUCAAACCAGCAAAGUCGAUUGUAUCCGAACCUCUCUUUU
RNAcentral lists this ribosomal RNA (972 nucleotides) under uncultured organism. Its description in RNAcentral is "bacterial SSU rRNA". It matches the Rfam family "Bacterial small subunit ribosomal RNA", at positions 465 to 1435 of the family's 1533-position model. The record is from RNAcentral.